CUCCUCUUCUGUAAACUAUAAAGCACAAAAUUCACAUCAAUAUGGGUCCUCUCCAUAAACACCCUUCAUCAUAUAAUAUCAUAGACAUUGCAAUGAAAUUGAUUAUUAUAUAGCCAGCCCUCCCACCACUCUCAAUCAUUUCAAAACCAUUCCUUUCCCUCUACAAUCUAUCAAGCCCCUUCCCCUUUAUACACCCUUUCUCUCAUGCUUCUCUUCCAAUAAAUGCCUCUCACUCUUUUGACCUAACUUCCAAACAGAAUUUCCACACCACAUAGCAGAAACUUUCAGUUUCAACCAUGUCCAUCACAGGACUCUCAGAAACAUCUAAACUUCACAAGAAAUUGUUUCAUCGCAGAAAUGAUUCUGAUGAGCUUGAUGUGUUUGAGGCAUCAAGGUAUUUCUCAGGAUACAAUGAAGCUGUGGGCUAUAAUGGUGCAACUUAUACACAAAAAGUCAUUAGAGAAGAUCACAGACAUCCUUGGAGAGGAGGAAGAAUGAGCUUAGACGUACCGAUGAGAAAUCCGCUACCUCAACAGUCUCACACAGUGGAAAAACAAAUAUUGAAGGAGAAGAAAUAUAAGCAACCAAGAUCUCCAGGUGGUAGGCUAGCUAGCUUCUUGAACUCUCUCUUCAAUCAAACAAGCUCUAAAAAGAAGAAAUCAAAGUCUGCCACACAAUCAAUGAAAGAUGAAGAUGAAAGCCCUAGUGGAAGAAGGAAAAGGAGGAGCAGCAUUAGUCAUUUUCGAAGCUCAAGCACUGCUGAUACAAAAUCAUUGUAUUCUUCUUCGAGUUCUGGUUUUAGAACACCCCCUCCUUAUGCACACACUCCAACAAAGAGCUACAAGAACUUCAGAAGCUAUUCAGAUCACAAGCAAUUACUUUCCUUGUCAAAGCACAAUGGAAAUGUGAAAUCCACAGUCUUCCAGAAUGAGGUAUUGGAUGAGAAAAGGAACACAGAUUUAUCAUGGUUGGAUGAGAAAUUUAAAUGCAGUGAUGGAUUUUCUGAGAAACCCAAGAGCCUUGGUCAUCGAUAUUUAGAGAAAGAUAGGAUUUGGGUUGAUCAGUAUCCACCAGAAGAGAAGGAAUUUAGAAAGUUCGAUAAGGUGGAUGAUGGAGCUGAGAGUGAUUCAAGUUCUGAUUUGUUUGAAUUGCAAAACUAUGACUUGGGUAUCUAUUCAAGUGGUCUGCCUGUGUAUGAGACGACAAAUAUGGAUAGCAUCAAAAGGGGAGCACCAAUUUCCAAUGGCACCCUCUAGAAUGUACAUUUUCCCCUUGUUGAUGCGUUUUUUGUUGUUAUUACUAUUAGAAACUGUGAGAAGAAUAUUGAUUUCCUAGAUUUUGCAAUUUCUUGCUGUGGCCAUCUGCUUUCCAUGCUGUUUCUCUGUGUGUACAGUAUGUAAUGUUUCUUUGUCUUUCUUUGUCUUUCUCUACUUUUUGGUUUUUGGCGCUGGAUUGAAGAAUAUUAGAAGUCUACCAUUGGAUUGUCUUGCUUAGAUUGUGGCAUGAUUAGUGAUUUUUCCACUAAAUUGACAGAGAAGCAAAAGCAUUAUAAACCCAUGUGGAC
RNAcentral lists this unclassified non-coding RNA (1564 nucleotides) under Hevea brasiliensis (rubber tree). The record is from RNAcentral. Lineage: Eukaryota; Viridiplantae; Streptophyta; Magnoliopsida; Malpighiales; Euphorbiaceae.